Molecule: ribosomal RNA, 336 nt
Filed under: Triticum aestivum (bread wheat)
Lineage: Eukaryota; Viridiplantae; Streptophyta; Magnoliopsida; Poales; Poaceae
Description: partial small subunit ribosomal RNA
Source: RNAcentral
AUGGAUAACAACCUCUGCCCUGUGAUGAGUUGGAACGUGCGUGGCAUGAACACGUCAGCGAGGCGCGAGGCGAUCAAGGAAAUGGCCUCGGCGCAUCGAGUCGCGAUUAUUUGUCUCCAGGAGACCAAGAUCGAGCUGUGGAAUCAAAACCUAGUCUAAGAUGUUGGGGGCACCCAGCUCCAGGACUGUGUAGUCCUCCCGGCGAUCGGCACCAGGGGAGCGGCAAUCUUCUGGGAUAGUAACCUGGUAUCUGUAGUAUCCAUCGCCAUUGGCCAAUUCGCGAUCACAGCCAAAGUUACUCUGCUUCGAUCGGCAACCUCUUUCUGGAUAACCACG